Molecule: long non-coding RNA, 736 nt
Organism: Panthera uncia (snow leopard)
Lineage: Eukaryota; Metazoa; Chordata; Mammalia; Carnivora; Felidae
Exons: 3
Source: RefSeq, a predicted model, not a curated record
UGUCCUCCCGCCGCAACGGCCCCUGGGGAGGGUAGUCCAGACCCGGCGGCGCGACUGCUGGGCUUAGUUCCCCGACCCGGCCUCGGGGCCGCUACACUCAGCCCCCUGCUGAGGCCCCCAGACGGGGAACAGAACCGCCCAGAAGCCUCUCAGUCCCGACUCCAGGCGCCCAAAGUACAGGCCGGCUCCCUGAAGCGAGCCGAGUCCCGAAGAUUCUGGGAACCCCCGCCAGGCUCAGAGUGCGCAGGCGCCGCCGUGAGGCGCACAGCGCGGAGGCCUGGGUACUGCGUCCCCGCGCCUGCGCCUAUAGUAUCGCUGGAGGCGUGCGGCGCGCAGGCGCUCGGAAAGUGGGCGGGGCUUAGGGCAGGCGGGCCCAGAAGCAGAUCCUUAUUGAUAGACCCAUCAGAAAAUAGAAGUCACAAAGGAAACCACACCCCAAAAUUUGGAAAGACCGGCAAAUACUGAAAAUCAUGGCAGGAAGCCAGCUGCCAUGUUGUGAGCUGUCCAUGUGGAAAGAAUUGAUAUGUCCAGACAAAAGCCAGCAAGGACCCCAACCCAGCCAACAGUUUAAAUGAGUGCGUCUGCAAGAUGAUUAUCCUCCCAUGAAGCCUUCAGGUGAAUGUCGCACUGGCUAACAACCUGCCUGCAGCCUUGUGGGAAUUGAGGCACCCAGCUAAGCCACACCUGGACUCCUUACCCAAAGAGUGAGCUAAUAAACAUGUUUGUUUUAAGCCAC